UGGGGGAUAUUGCACAAUGGGCGAAAGCCUGAUGCAGCGACGCCGCGUGGGGGAUGAAGGCUUUCGGGUUGUAAACCUCUUUCGCUAUCGAACAAGGCCCGCUUAGGGUGGGUUGAGGGUAGGUGGAGAAGAAGCGCCGGCUAACUACGUGCCAGCAGCCGCGGUAAUACGUAGGGCGCGAGCGUUGUCCGGAAUUAUUGGGCGUAAAGGGCUUGUAGGCGGCUUGUUGCGCCUGCUGUGAAAACGCGGGGCUUAACUUCGCGCGUGCAGUGGGUACGGGCAGGCUUGAGUGUGGUAGGGGUGCCUGGAAUUCCAGGUGUAGCGGUGGAAUGCGCAGAUAUCUGGAGGAACACCGAUGGCGAAGGCAGGUCACUGGGCCAUUACUGACGCUGAGGAGCGAAAGCAUGGGUAGCGAACAGG
Molecule: ribosomal RNA, 420 nt
Filed under: bacterium
Lineage: Bacteria
Description: partial 16S ribosomal RNA
Rfam family: Bacterial small subunit ribosomal RNA
Source: RNAcentral